GCGGACGUGGCGGAACUGGUAGACGCGCCAGACUUAGGAUCUGGUGGGGCAACCCCGUGGGAGUUCGAGUCUCCCCGUCCGCACCA
RNAcentral lists this transfer RNA (86 nucleotides) under Pseudomonadota bacterium. RNAcentral's name for it is "tRNA-Leu". It matches the Rfam family "tRNA". Rfam says of the family: Transfer RNA (tRNA) molecules are approximately 80 nucleotides in length. Their secondary structure includes four short double-helical elements and three loops (D, anti-codon, and T loops). Further hydrogen bonds mediate the characteristic L-shaped molecular structure. tRNAs have two regions of fundamental functional importance: the anti-codon, which is responsible for specific mRNA codon recognition, and the 3' end, to which the tRNAs corresponding amino acid is attached (by aminoacyl-tRNA synthetases). tRNAs cope with the degeneracy of the genetic code in two manners: having more than one tRNA (with a specific anti-codon) for a particular amino acid; and 'wobble' base-pairing, i.e. permitting non-standard base-pairing at the 3rd anti-codon position. RNAcentral also lists the same sequence under 1 other name. The record is from RNAcentral. Lineage: Bacteria; Pseudomonadati; Pseudomonadota.